AUUAAGCAUAUCAAUAAGCGGAGGAAAAGAAACUAACAAGGAUUCCCCUAGUAACGGCGAGUGAAGCGGGAUGAGCUCAAAUUUAAAAUCUGGCAGUCUAAGAUUGUCCGAGUUGUAGUCUAGAGAAGCGUUUUCCGCGUAGGCCUGUGUACAAGUCCCUUGGAAUAGGGCGUCAUAGAGGGUGAGAAUCCCGUCCUUGACACAGAUCAUCUAUGCUUUGCGAUGCGCUCUCGAAGAGUCGAGUUGUUUGGGAAUGCAGCUCAAAAUGGGUGGUAAAUUCCAUCUAAAGCUAAAUAUUGGCGAGAGACCGAUAGCGAACAAGUACCGUGAGGGAAAGAUGAAAAGCACUUUGGAAAGAGAGUUAAACAGUACGUGAAAUUGUUGAAAGGGAAACGAUUGAAGUCAGUCAUGUGGUUCGAGAUUCAGCCGGUUCUGCCGGUGUAUUUCUCGAGCUACAGGCCAGCAUCAGUUUCGACCGGUGGAAAAAGUUGGAGGGAACGUGGCAUCCUCGGAUGUGUUAUAGCCCUCUUUCAGAUGCAUCGGACGGGACUGAGGAACGCAGCGUGCCUUUAUGGUCGGUCUUCGGACACGAACGCGCUUAGGAUGCUGGCAUAAUGGCUUUAAACGACCCGUG
Molecule: ribosomal RNA, 634 nt
Filed under: Udeniomyces megalosporus
Lineage: Eukaryota; Fungi; Basidiomycota; Tremellomycetes; Cystofilobasidiales; Mrakiaceae
Description: LSU rRNA
Rfam family: Eukaryotic large subunit ribosomal RNA
Source: RNAcentral